UACGGAGGAUCCAAGCGUUAUCCGGAUUUAUUGGGUUUAAAGGGUGCGUAGGCGGAUUAUUAAGUCAGUGGUGAAAUCCUGCAGCUUAACUGCAGAACUGCCAUUGAUACUGAUGAUCUUGAGUACAGUUGAGGUGGGCGGAAUGUGUCAUGUAGCGGUGAAAUGCUUAGAUAUGACACAGAACACCGAUUGCGAAGGCAGCUCGCUAAACUGUAACUGACGCUGAGGCACGAAAGCGUGGGGAUCAAACAGG
This 253-nucleotide ribosomal RNA is filed under the name uncultured bacterium. RNAcentral describes it as "partial 16S ribosomal RNA". It matches the Rfam family "Bacterial small subunit ribosomal RNA", at positions 524 to 776 of the family's 1533-position model. The record is from RNAcentral.